RNAcentral lists this ribosomal RNA (451 nucleotides) under Dendropoma gregarium. RNAcentral's name for it is "partial small subunit ribosomal RNA". Lineage: Eukaryota; Metazoa; Mollusca; Gastropoda; Littorinimorpha; Vermetidae. The record is from RNAcentral.
UUUUGAGUGUAAAUAGCUUGUCUAGAUGCCGGGGGACUACGAGAGGACAGUCUUAAAAUCCAAAAAGCCUGGCGGUGUCUAAGACUCUUCAGGGGAACUUGUCUCUGAAUCGAUGAUCCACGAAGGACCUUACCUUGUUUUGUACUUCUGCUUGCAUACCGUCGUCGUCAGUCUUUGUUAAUAAGAUGAAAGAAGAAGGCGAACAAAAACCAUUGUUUUUAAUGUCAGAUCAGGGUACAGCUAAUAGCAAGGGGGGGGUGAGUUACAAUUAGGAGUUAUAAGACGGAAGAUUUAGGGAAGACAGCUUUAUCUGAAGGAGGACUUGAAAGUAAAGAUAAUUUAUAUAAAUUUCUUGAACAUAGUUAGGACGUGUACAAAUCGCCCGUCGCUUUCAUUGAAAAGUGAAAUAAGUCGUAACAUAGUAGGGGUAACGGAAGUUGUCCCUAGACAA